Molecule: ribosomal RNA, 253 nt
Filed under: uncultured bacterium
Lineage: Bacteria
Description: partial 16S ribosomal RNA
Rfam family: Bacterial small subunit ribosomal RNA
Source: RNAcentral
UACGUAGGGAGCAAGCGUUGUCCGGAAUCAUUGGGCGUAAAGCGCGCGUAGGUGGCCUCGUAAGUCCGCUGUAAAAGUCAAAGGCUCAACCUUUGAAAGUCGGUGGAUACUGCGGGGCUAGAGUACGGAAGAGGCGAGUGGAAUUCCUGGUGUAGCGGUGGAAUGCGCAGACAUCAGGAGGAACACCAAUAGCGAAGGCAGCUCGCUGGGACGUUACUGACACUGAGGCGCGAAAGCGUGGGGAGCGAACAGG